RNAcentral lists this transfer RNA (73 nucleotides) under bacterium. RNAcentral describes it as "tRNA-Thr". It matches the Rfam family "tRNA". From Rfam's summary of the family: Transfer RNA (tRNA) molecules are approximately 80 nucleotides in length. Their secondary structure includes four short double-helical elements and three loops (D, anti-codon, and T loops). Further hydrogen bonds mediate the characteristic L-shaped molecular structure. tRNAs have two regions of fundamental functional importance: the anti-codon, which is responsible for specific mRNA codon recognition, and the 3' end, to which the tRNAs corresponding amino acid is attached (by aminoacyl-tRNA synthetases). tRNAs cope with the degeneracy of the genetic code in two manners: having more than one tRNA (with a specific anti-codon) for a particular amino acid; and 'wobble' base-pairing, i.e. permitting non-standard base-pairing at the 3rd anti-codon position. The record is from RNAcentral. RNAcentral also lists the same sequence under 2 other names.
GCCCAUGUAGCUCAAUUGGUAGAGCAAUCCCUUCGUAAGGGAAAGGUUAUCGGUUCGAUUCCGGUCAUGGGCU